This 520-nucleotide ribosomal RNA is filed under the name uncultured Glomeromycotina. RNAcentral's name for it is "SSU rRNA". It matches the Rfam family "Eukaryotic small subunit ribosomal RNA", at positions 569 to 1092 of the family's 1831-position model. Lineage: Eukaryota; Fungi; Glomeromycota. The record is from RNAcentral.
AGCAGCCGCGGUAAUUCCAGCUCCAAUAGCGUAUAUUAAAGUUGUUGCAGUUAAAAAGCUCGUAGUUGAAUUUCGAGACCGGUUUACUGGUCGUGCUUUUGUACGUACUGGUAUAAUCGGUUUCUCUUUUCUGACGAACUAUAAAUGCCAUUAAUUUGGUGUUAUAGGGAAUCAGGACUGUUACUUUGAAAAAAUUAGAGUGUUUAAAGCAGGCUCACGCUUGAAUACAUUAGCAUGGAAUAACGAAAUAGGACGUUUGAUUUUAUUUUGUUGGUUUCUAGGAUCGACGUAAUGAUUAAUAGGGAUAGUUGGGGGCAUUAGUAUUCAAUUGUCAGAGGUGAAAUUCUUGGAUUUAUUGAAGACUAACUACUGCGAAAGCAUUUGCCAAGGAUGUUUUCAUUAAUCAAGAACGAAAGUUAGGGGAUCGAAGACGAUCAGAUACCGUCGUAGUCUUAACCAUAAACCUAUGCCGACUAGGGAUCGGAUGAUGUUAAACUUAUGACUCAUUCGGCACCGUUAC